RNAcentral lists this ribosomal RNA (301 nucleotides) under uncultured bacterium. Its description in RNAcentral is "partial 16S ribosomal RNA". It matches the Rfam family "Bacterial small subunit ribosomal RNA", at positions 509 to 808 of the family's 1533-position model. The record is from RNAcentral.
CAGCAGCCCGGUAAUACGUAGGGUGCAAGCGUUAAUCGGAAUUACUGGGCGUAAAGCGUGCGCAGGCGGUGUUGUAAGACUGAUGUGAAAUCCCCGGGCUCAACCUGGGAACUGCAUUGGCGACUGCAACGCUGGAGUGCGGCAGAGGGGGAUGGAAUUCCGCGUGUAGCAGUGAAAUGCGUAGAUAUGCGGAGGAACACCGAUGGCGAAGGCAAUCCCCUGGGCCUGCACUGACGCUCAUGCACGAAAGCGUGGGGAGCAAACAGGAUUAGAUACCCCCGUAGUCCCUGUCUCUUAUACA